This 254-nucleotide ribosomal RNA is filed under the name uncultured bacterium. Its description in RNAcentral is "partial 16S ribosomal RNA". It matches the Rfam family "Bacterial small subunit ribosomal RNA", at positions 524 to 776 of the family's 1533-position model. The record is from RNAcentral.
UACAGAGGGUGCAAGCGUUGUUCGGAUUUACUGGGCGUAAAGGGCGCGUAGGCGGUCAGCACAAGUCAGUUGUGAAAUCUCCGAGCUUAACUCGGAAAGGUCAACUGAUACUGUGCGACUAGAGUGCAGAAGGGGCAACUGGAAUUCUUGGUGUAGCGGUGAAAUGCGUAGAUAUCAAGAGGAACACCUGCGGCGAAGGCGGGUUGCUGGGCUGACACUGACGCUGAAGCGCGAAAGCCAGGGGAGCGAACGGG